GUUGUAUGGUUAAGUGACUAAGCGUACACGGUGGAUGCCUUGGCAGUCAGAGGCGAUGAAAGACGUAGUAACUUGCGAUAAGCCCAGAUUAGGUAGUAACAACCAUUUGAGUCUGGGAUUUCUGAAUGGGGAAACCCACGUGCAUAAGCACGUAUCCUUACCUGAAUACAUAGGGUAAGGAGGCGAACCGGGGGAACUGAAACAUCUAAGUACCCCGAGGAAAAGAAAUCAACCGAGAUUCCGAAAGUAGCGGCGAGCGAAAUUGGACUAGCCCUUAAGCUUUACACGCGUUAGACGAACGGUCUGGAAAGUCCGACGAUACAGGGUGAUAGUCCCGUAGUUGACGACGUGUGUUCAGUGAAAUCGAGUAGGGCGGGACACGUGAUAUCCUGUCUGAAUAUGGGGGGACCAUCCUCCAAGGCUAAAUACUACUGACUGACCGAUAGUGAACCAGUACCGUGAGGGAAAGGCGAAAAGAACCCCUGUGAGGGGAGUGAAAUAGAACCUGAAACCGUGUACGUACAAGCAGUAGGAGCAGGCUUUGUCCUGUGACUGCGUACCUUUUGUAUAAUGGGUCAGCGACUUAUAUUCAGUGGCAAGGUUAACCAUCUAGGGGAGCCGUAGGGAAACCGAGUCUUAACUGGGCGUUCAGUCUCUGGAUAUAGACCCGAAACCAGGUGAUCUAGCCAUGGGCAGGUUGAAGGUUGAGUAACAUCAACUGGAGGACCGAACCGACUAAUGUUGAAAAAUUAGCGGAUGACUUGUGGCUAGGGGUGAAAGGCCAAUCAAACCUGGAGAUAGCUGGUUCUCCCCGAAAGCUAUUUAGGUAGCGCCUCGGACGAAUACUACUGGGGGUAGAGCACUGUUAAGGCUAGGGGGUCAUCCCGACUUACCAACCCUUUGCAAACUCCGAAUACCAGUAAGUACUAUCCGGGAGACACACGGCGGGUGCUAACGUCCGUCGUGGAGAGGGAAACAACCCAGACCGCCAGCUAAGGUCCCAAAUUACUACUAAGUGGGAAACGAUGUGGGAAGGCUCAGACAGCCAGGAUGUUGGCUUAGAAGCAGCCAUCAUUUAAAGAAAGCGUAAUAGCUCACUGGUCGAGUCGGCCUGCGCGGAAGAUGUAACGGGGCUAAGUAGUAAACCGAAGCUGCGGCAAUGUGCUUUUGCACAUUGGGUAGGGGAGCGUUCUGUAAGCGGUUGAAGGUGUGUGGUAACGCAUGCUGGACGUAUCAGAAGUGCGAAUGCUGACAUGAGUAACGAUAAAGGGGGUGAAAAACCUCCUCGCCGGAAGACCAAGGGUUCCUGUCCAACGUUAAUCGGGGCAGGGUAAGUCGACCCCUAAGGCGAGGCCGAAAGGCGUAGUCGAUGGGAAACGGGUUAAUAUUCCCGUACUUCUUACAAUUGCGAUGGGGGGACGGAGAAGGCUAGGUGGGCCUGGCGACGGUUGUCCAGGUUCAAGUGCGUAGGCUUAAGAGUUAGGUAAAUCCGGCUCUUUUUAAGGCUGAGACACGACGUCGAGCACCUACGGGUGUGAAGUCAUUGAUGCCAUGCUUCCAGGAAAAGCCUCUAAGCUUCAGAUUGUAAGGAAUCGUACCCCAAACCGACACAGGUGGUCGGGUAGAGAAUACCAAGGCGCUUGAGAGAACUCGGGUGAAGGAACUAGGCAAAAUGGUACCGUAACUUCGGGAGAAGGUACGCUCUUGAUGGUGAAGUCCCUCGCGGAUGGAGCUGACGAGAGUCGCAGAUACCAGGUGGCUGCAACUGUUUAUUAAAAACACAGCACUGUGCAAAAUCGUAAGAUGACGUAUACGGUGUGACGCCUGCCCGGUGCCGGAAGGUUAAUUGAUGGGGUUAGACUUCGGUCGAAGCUCUUGAUCGAAGCCCCGGUAAACGGCGGCCGUAACUAUAACGGUCCUAAGGUAGCGAAAUUCCUUGUCGGGUAAGUUCCGACCUGCACGAAUGGCGUAAUGAUGGCCACGCUGUCUCCACCCGAGACUCAGUGAAAUUGAAAUCGCUGUGAAGAUGCAGUGUACCCGCGGCUAGACGGAAAGACCCCGUGAACCUUUACUACAGCUUGGCACUGAACAUUGACCCUACAUGUGUAGGAUAGGUGGGAGGCUUUGAAGCACGUACGCCAGUAUGUGUGGAGCCGUCCUUGAAAUACCACCCUUGUAGUGUUGAUGUUCUAACGUCGACCCCUAAUCGGGGUUGCGGACAGUGCCUGGUGGGUAGUUUGACUGGGGCGGUCUCCUCCCAAAGAGUAACGGAGGAGCACGAAGGUGGGCUAAUCACGGUUGGACAUCGUGAGGUUAGUGCAAUGGCAUAAGCCCGCUUGACUGCGAGAAUGACAAUUCGAGCAGGUGCGAAAGCAGGUCAUAGUGAUCCGGUGGUUCUGAAUGGAAGGGCCAUCGCUCAACGGAUAAAAGGUACUCCGGGGAUAACAGGCUGAUACCGCCCAAGAGUUCAUAUCGACGGCGGUGUUUGGCACCUCGAUGUCGGCUCAUCACAUCCUGGGGCUGAAGUCGGUCCCAAGGGUAUGGCUGUUCGCCAUUUAAAGUGGUACGCGAGCUGGGUUUAGAACGUCGUGAGACAGUUCGGUCCCUAUCUGCCGUGGGCGUUGGAAGAUUGAAGGGGGCUGCUCCUAGUACGAGAGGACCGGAGUGGACGAACCUCUGGUGUUCGGGUUGUGUCGCCAGACGCAUUGCCCGGUAGCUAAGUUCGGAAUCGAUAACCGCUGAAAGCAUCUAAGCGGGAAGCGAGCCCUGAGAUGAGUCUUCCCUGAUACUUUAAGUAUCCUAAAGGGUUGUCGGAGACUACGACGUUGAUAGGUCAGGUGUGUAAGUGCUGUGAGGCAUUGAGCUAACUGAUACUAAUUGCCCGUGAGGCUUAACCAUACAACACCCAAGGGGUUU
RNAcentral lists this ribosomal RNA (2916 nucleotides) under Vibrio parahaemolyticus. RNAcentral describes it as "bacterial LSU rRNA". It matches the Rfam family "Bacterial large subunit ribosomal RNA". Lineage: Bacteria; Pseudomonadati; Pseudomonadota; Gammaproteobacteria; Vibrionales; Vibrionaceae. The record is from RNAcentral.